GGGGCAUGCGAGGGCUGUCGCUGACUCAAAGUCGUGCACGCCCGAGUGUGUCGCCUCACAUAAUAAUCCAUCUCACCCUUUGUGCAUCACCGCGUGGGCACCCCUUUGGGAUCAUCUCGGAGGGGGCUCGCGUUUUCACACAAAACCCCCCUUUUAAAAGUGUAGAAUGACCUCAUUUAUGCGCUAACCCGCAAUCAAUACAACUUUCAACAACGGAUCUCUUGGCUCUCGCAUCGAUGAAGAACGCAGCGAAAUGCGAUACGUAAUGUGAAUUGCAGAAUUCAGUGAAUCAUCGAAUCUUUGAACGCACCUUGCGCCCCCUGGUAUUCCGAGGGGCACACCCGUUUGAGUGUCGUGAAAACCUCAACCUCCUUGGUUUCUUCUGGAGACCAAAGCAGGCUUGGACUUUGGAGGCCUUUGCUGGCACCUCUCGCCAGCUCCUCUUAAAUGAAUUAGCAGGGUCCUCUUUGCUGAUCCUCGACGUGUGAUAAGAUGUUUCCAUGUCUUGGUUUCUGGCUCUGUCACCUUUGGGACCCGCUUCUAACCGUCUUCAACCUUGCGUUGAGACAACGUUCGAGCAUGUCUCCCUUCUCGNNAGCUCCCUCGACCCCACGAACCCUUGA
This 623-nucleotide ribosomal RNA is filed under the name uncultured Lactarius. RNAcentral's name for it is "eukaryotic LSU rRNA". The stretch from base 202 to 355 matches the Rfam family "5.8S ribosomal RNA". Lineage: Eukaryota; Fungi; Basidiomycota; Agaricomycetes; Russulales; Russulaceae. The record is from RNAcentral.